RNAcentral lists this long non-coding RNA (1412 nucleotides) under Suricata suricatta (meerkat). Its description in RNAcentral is "lncRNA (ENSSSUG00005019648.1)". The record is from RNAcentral. Lineage: Eukaryota; Metazoa; Chordata; Mammalia; Carnivora; Herpestidae.
GAAUCAAUGGGCCACUUGACCGAUUCACUGCGUAACGUGUAACCUGUGAUUUUACGGCUGCGGCCCCGUCACGAGAGGCGGCUUCCGGCAGAGCGCCCAAACCCUCUUCCCUGCAAGACCCUCUCAAGUCAUGCGCCUGCCCGGUACGGUCUCAGGAGAAAACUCCGUGCCGCCUAGGCCACACGGCGGAGAGGACCUCCGGCCGCUUCCGCCAACGGGCCCCUUGCAGGGGCUGCCGGCGGCCCUCACCCCUCCACCUGGAGGUGCAGCUGGUGAGUCAGCUGACCAGGAAACACCUUUGAGGGCGAGGUGUUUGAAGUGCAGUUAAUUCAUGUCACCACAGGGUCCUGAGUUAUUCAGGUGACCUUGGGUGAGGCGGUCAACCCCGCUGGCCUCAGUCUUCAUCCGGAACCGGCAGGCUGCGGGGCGGCCUCUGUGCCCUGACGCCCGUCCGGUCCACCCAGGCUCCCGACGCCCACGGCACAGCCCGGAACCACAGUAAACCAUUCCGAACGUGCCGACGUUGCCAAAAGGCUAAUCUGUAUCCUCAGGUAGGGAAUAAUUAUAAUCUUCAGUGAACAAGAAAACGACCUAAAAUUAACAAAUUCGGGCAAAUUCCCUUGAUGACAAAACACAGAAUAUAAUUCAGACGCGGUUUUCUAUGGCUGCAAAAUGGUGCGUUAGCGCAGGACUCCGAGGGGCGGCGGAGAUCUCUCAUGGCGGACGGUGUGCGUGCUGGAGGGUCGCCCCGUGCCACAGCCGGGCCCUCGCCAGCCUGCUGACGGCGCCCAGCUGGAAGGUUCUUCAUACUGAACGAUAUGGGACUUCCUUGUGAGGAAGGACCAACGUCCCCAGAUCUUGCUCCUCACGCUCACCCAGAACUUCUGUCUUCCUGGAGCCUAUGAGCUGUUCCUGAGCCCGCCGCCCUGGGCACCUGCUGAUGCCAUUCCACGUGCCCAGUGUCCUCCGAGCUCCCGGAUGCGCCACUCGAGGCCGUGAACGCGCCGUUCUCAUUAUUUGCCGUCACUGCGUAUCUUGCGGGCGGACGGCAGGUCCUGGAAAGGUUCAGCUUCCAGAAUCGCGCAAGCCGAUUCCUACAAUCAACCCGCCGCUCUGUCCCCGGAGGACUGAAGACCACUGCGCUCCGGGGCAAAUCCAGCCGGAACGGGGGUCCAAUGAAGGACCCAGCCCUCUGCCUGCAGGGCACAUGGGACACGGGGCCACUCGCUCUGCCCCUGGAGGCGCCUCCAGGGCUGGGGGGUGCACUCCCCAGAGAAACCCAGAGUCCCCACUGCCAUCGAUGGCUGUCCCGGAGCCGGCUGGCUGCCGGGACUCAGAAGUGGGGGGAGGGCACAGCCUCUGGAUUUUAUCGCUCUGCCUGGGUCAGCUAUUUCAUUAAAAAUCAGAGUUCC